Molecule: ribosomal RNA, 468 nt
Filed under: uncultured bacterium
Lineage: Bacteria
Description: partial 16S ribosomal RNA
Rfam family: Bacterial small subunit ribosomal RNA
Source: RNAcentral
GACGAACGCUGGCGGCGUGCUUAACACAUGCAAGUCGAACGGUGAAGCUUGAGCCUGCUGGUGUGGGUAUGAGGCGCAAGCGUGUGAGUAAUGCGUGCGUAACGUCCCCGUGACUCGGGUAUGCGCUGGAGACGCUGUCUCAAAUUGGAUAUGCGACGUGUCAGCACGGGCUCUUUUUUGAAAGUUGUUUGGUUGGGGAUGGGUUCGCGGCCUAUCAGCUUGUUGGUGGGGUAAUGGCUCACCAAGGCGACGACGGGUAGCCGGCCUGAGAGGGCGACCGGCCACACUGGGACUGAGACACGGCCCAGACUCCUACGGGAGGCAGCAGUGGGGAAUAUUGCACAAUGGGCGGAAGCCUGAUGCAGCGACGCCGCGUGAGGGAUGACGGCCUUCGGGUUGUAAACCUCUUUCAGCAGGGAAGAAGCGAAAGUGACGGUACCUGCAGAAGAAGCGCCGGCUAACUACGUG